AGAGACGGGGGAAAUAGAGAGUUAAAUGGAAUGAAAACUUAAUCGAACGUUUCAUAUGAACUGGUGUUCUUCUGUUGGGCUCCUAAGUCCAUUAUCUUUAAUUGAGUGGGCUUCAUCCAAGUCACAAAACUCGUCGCUAAAAAAACACAGUUUUUUUUUACGUGGGACCCACCUAAUACUGAGGUGUGGAUGCUUUAAGAGGAGAGUAAACUGUGGCAUUUAUAUAUGUAUGAUUAGUGAUACAUUUUAUUAUCCAAAUGACGGUAAGGCUUACACAUCUUAUAUGUAUUUCUCUAUUUUUACCUCUAAAAUAGCGGAACUCUAUAAUCGAGAUGUGUUUUACUCCAAUAUAUUUAUCUAAAAUAGAGAUCUCUACAUAUAGAGCAAAAUAUAGAGGAAUGAUAUUUCUUCUUCUAUAAAUAGAGCAAAAACUAGCAAUC
RNAcentral lists this long non-coding RNA (440 nucleotides) under Brassica napus (rape). Its description in RNAcentral is "long non-coding RNA (BNAP_LNC014536)". Lineage: Eukaryota; Viridiplantae; Streptophyta; Magnoliopsida; Brassicales; Brassicaceae. The record is from RNAcentral.